This is a long non-coding RNA of Eutrema salsugineum, 659 nucleotides long. RefSeq lists it as uncharacterized. The transcript is spliced from 4 exons. The record is from RefSeq and is a predicted model, not a curated record. NCBI's taxonomy places the organism in Eukaryota, Viridiplantae, Streptophyta, Magnoliopsida, Brassicales, Brassicaceae.
GCCAAAAUUAUAUCCGACGUGGAUAAGGUUUUCUCCCUUGUCGGGUCUCUCCCUAGCCGCGUCGAUCCAGCAACCAAACUGGACCUAAUUCUUUCUCCUCCGCCUCUGUCCUCCUUCUUCAUCCUUGUUCUUCGGGCCUUCCUCGAUUUAUCCGCCAUCUCCCUUCUUCUUUGUCUUCUAUUGUCGCUUUGCUUCAGGGUCAGAUUUCAACUGGUAGUGUUAACAUCAUUCAAGAAUACAUGUUAUAUUGAAAUUCUUCCUACCUCUCAAGAAUCCAAAGGAGUAAUCUUCUUGAGCUUCUGGGCACAGAUUCAUUACAACUCAUCUACUUAAACAGAGAUACAUCUGCAACAAAGCUACAGAGGAGGAAAAAAUGGUGGCGUUUGGGGAACUAGACAGAGCAUGAAUCAUCAUCUCUGAGUUAUAUUAGUAUAUAUUGACCUGAAAUAGAAAAAGAGAGAGGGGGACGAGGUUCUUUGGAGCGAGAGGCUGGGAAGCCAUAAAUUGAAAAAAAGUUGGCUAAAAUGCCGUAUGUCUAAUAACUAAUAUAAUUUUCAUUUUUGUUUAAUAAGGAAAAUCCUGGAAAUUCUUUGUUUCUCCUCCUAUGCCUUUAUAAUCACAAGAAAACCAGGGUUAUACCCACCCGUUUUUACUCCUAC